GACGAACGCUGGCGGCAUGCUUAACACAUGCAAGUCGAACGGAAAGGCCCUGCUUUGGGGGGGUGCUCGAGUGGCGAACGGGUAAGUAACACGUGAGUAACCUGCCCUUGACUUUGGGAUAUCUUCAGGAAACUGGGGCUCAUCCCGGCUAGGAGCUACUGCUGCAUGGUGGGGGUUGGAAGGUUUCGGUGGUUGGGGAUGGACUCGCGUCUUAUCAGAUUGUUGGUGGGGUAGUGGCUUACCAAGGCUUUGACGGGUAGCCGGGCUGAGAGGGUGACCGGCCACACUGGGAUGGAGAUGCGGCACAGACUCCUACGGGAGGGAGGAGAGGGGAAUAGAGUAUUAGGGGCGGAAGGCUGGCGUAGUACCGCCGCGUGGGGGAUGAGGGGCUUGGCGUUGGAAUGCGAUGUCGUCUGUGACGAAGUGUGAGUGACGGUAAUGGGUAAAGAAGCACCGGCUAACUACGUG
Molecule: ribosomal RNA, 468 nt
Filed under: uncultured bacterium
Lineage: Bacteria
Description: partial 16S ribosomal RNA
Rfam family: Bacterial small subunit ribosomal RNA
Source: RNAcentral